RNAcentral lists this ribosomal RNA (497 nucleotides) under uncultured bacterium. RNAcentral's name for it is "partial 16S ribosomal RNA". It matches the Rfam family "Bacterial small subunit ribosomal RNA", at positions 28 to 507 of the family's 1533-position model. The record is from RNAcentral.
GAUGAACGCUGGCGGCGUGCCUAAUACAUGCAAGUCGAGCGAACAGAUGAGGAGCUUGCUCCUCUGACGUUAGCGGCGGGCGGGUGAGUAACACGUGGAUAACCUACCUAUAAGACUGGGAUAACUUCGGGAAACCGGAGCUAAUACCGGAUAAUAUAUUGAACCGCAUGGUUCAAUAGUGAAAGACGGUUUUGCUGUCACUUAUAGAUGGAUCCGCGCCGCAUUAGCUAGUUGGUAAGGUAACGGCUUACCAAGGCAACGAUGCGUAGCCGACCUGAGAGGGUGAUCGGCCACACUGGAACUGAGUCACGGUCCAGACUCCUACGGGAGGCAGCAGUAGGGAAUCUUCCGCAAUGGGCGAAAGCCUGACGGAGCAACGCCGCGUGAGUGAUGAAGGUCUUCGGAUCGUAAAACUCUGUUAUUAGGGAAGAACAAAUGUGUAAGUAACUAUGCACGUCUUGACGGUACCUAAUCAGAAAGCCACGGCUAACUACGUG